Molecule: unclassified non-coding RNA, 381 nt
Filed under: soil metagenome
Description: partial contains 5.8S ribosomal RNA, internal transcribed spacer 2, and large subunit ribosomal RNA
Rfam family: 5.8S ribosomal RNA (bases 1-120)
Source: RNAcentral
GAUGAAGAACGCAGCGAAAUGCGAUAAGUAAUGUGAAUUGCAGAAUUCAGUGAAUCAUCGAAUCUUUGAACGCACCUUGCACCCUUUGGCAUUCCGAAGGGUAUGCUCGUUUGAGUGUCAUUGUACUCUCACACUCCCACUCUUUUGGAUUGGGAGCGGUGGACUUGGGUGUUGCUGCUUCACUGUGGCUCGCCUCAAAUGGAGUAGUGCAACUCUCGGUUGGACAUAGUACGGCGUGAUAAGUGUCUUCGCCGGCGCCUCACUAGAGGGUGGCCGAUCGGGAGCUCUGUGCUUCAAACCGUCUUUGGACAAUCUCUGACAACUUGACCUCAAAUCGAGUAGGACUACCCGCUGAACUUAAGCAUAUCAAUAAGCGGAGGA